Molecule: ribosomal RNA, 253 nt
Filed under: uncultured bacterium
Lineage: Bacteria
Description: partial 16S ribosomal RNA
Rfam family: Bacterial small subunit ribosomal RNA
Source: RNAcentral
UACGGGGGGGGCAAGCGUUGUUCGGAAUUACUGGGCGUAAAGGGCGCGUAGGCGGCCUGCUAAGUCGGAUGUGAAAUCCCCCGGCUCAACCGGGGAACUGCAUCCGAUACUGGCGGGCUCGAAUCCGGGAGAGGGAUGUGGAAUUCCAGGUGUAGCGGUGAAAUGCGUAGAUAUCUGGAGGAACACCGGUGGCGAAGGCGGCAUCCUGGACCGGCAUUGACGCUGAGGCGCGAAAGCCAGGGGAGCAAACGGG